RNAcentral lists this ribosomal RNA (705 nucleotides) under Pygoscelis adeliae (Adelie penguin). RNAcentral's name for it is "partial 12S ribosomal RNA". It matches the Rfam family "Bacterial small subunit ribosomal RNA", at positions 25 to 1204 of the family's 1533-position model. The record is from RNAcentral. Lineage: Eukaryota; Metazoa; Chordata; Aves; Sphenisciformes; Spheniscidae.
UACCGUUAAUUUCUGCUAAACAUAUACAUGCAAGUAUCUGCGCCCCAGUGUAAAUGCCCCAACGCUCUUAUUAACUAGACAAAGGGAGCGGGCAUCAGGCUCGCCCAUUGCUGCAGCCCAAGACGCCUUGCUUAGCCACACCCCCACGGGUACUCAGCAGUAAUUAGUAUUAAGCAAUAAGUGAAAACUUGACUUAGUUAUAGCAGCACUCAGGGUUGGUAAAUCUUGUGCCAGCCACCGCGGUCACACAAGAGACCCAAAUUAACUGUCACACGGCGUAAAGAGUGGUACCAUGCUAUCCUGACAACUAAGAUCAAAAUACAGCUAAGCUGUCAUAAGCCCAAGAUGUAUUUAAAAACACCUCCAAGAUGAUCUUAGCAGCCCCGACUAAUUAAACUCCACGAAAGCUAGGACACAAACUGGGAUUAGAUACCCCACUAUGCCUAGCCCUAAAUCUUGAUACCUUCCAUCACCAAAGUAUCCGCCUGAGAACUACGAGCACAAACGCUUAAAACUCUAAGGACUUGGCGGUGCCCCAGACCCACCUAGAGGAGCCUGUUCUAUAAUCGAUAACCCACGAUGCACCCGACCACUCCUUGCCAAAGCAGCCUAUAUACCGCCGUCGCCAGCUCACCUCGCCUGAAAGAACAACAGUGAGCAUAAUAGCCCCAACCCCGCUAACAAGACAGGUCAAGGUAUAGCCUA